Molecule: ribosomal RNA, 641 nt
Filed under: Streptomyces sp. YIM 78103
Lineage: Bacteria; Bacillati; Actinomycetota; Actinomycetes; Kitasatosporales; Streptomycetaceae
Description: bacterial SSU rRNA
Rfam family: Bacterial small subunit ribosomal RNA
Source: RNAcentral
CAGCUUCGGUGGGGAUUAGUGGCGAACGGGUGAGUAACACGUGGGCAAUCUGCCCUUCACUCUGGGACAAGCCCUGGAAACGGGGUCUAAUACCGGAUACCACUACCGCAGGCAUCUGUGGUGGUUGAAAGCUCCGGCGGUGAAGGAUGAGCCCGCGGCCUAUCAGCUUGUUGGUGAGGUAAUGGCUCACCAAGGCGACGACGGGUAGCCGGCCUGAGAGGGCGACCGGCCACACUGGGACUGAGACACGGCCCAGACUCCUACGGGAGGCAGCAGUGGGGAAUAUUGCACAAUGGGCGAAAGCCUGAUGCAGCGACGCCGCGUGAGGGAUGACGGCCUUCGGGUUGUAAACCUCUUUCAGCAGGGAAGAAGCGAAAGUGACGGUACCUGCAGAAGAAGCGCCGGCUAACUACGUGCCAGCAGCCGCGGUAAUACGUAGGGCGCAAGCGUUGUCCGGAAUUAUUGGGCGUAAAGAGCUCGUAGGCGGCUUGUCACGUCGGGUGUGAAAGCCCGGGGCUUAACCCCGGGUCUGCAUUCGAUACGGGCUAGCUAGAGUGUGGUAGGGGAGAUCGGAAUUCCUGGUGUAGCGGUGAAAUGCGCAGAUAUCAGGAGGAACACCGGUGGCGAAGGCGGAUCUCUGG